Molecule: ribosomal RNA, 430 nt
Filed under: Bacillota bacterium
Lineage: Bacteria; Bacillati; Bacillota
Also listed under: 1 other name
Description: Firmicutes bacterium partial 16S ribosomal RNA
Rfam family: Bacterial small subunit ribosomal RNA
Source: RNAcentral
UGGGGAAUUUUCCGCAAUGGGCGAAAGCCUGACGGAGUGACGCCGCGUGGGGGACGAAGGCCUUCGGGUUGUAAACCCCUGUCAGAGGGAAAGAAGGAGGUCGGCGUGAAUAGCGCCGGCCUUUGACGGUACCUUCAGAGGAAGCCCCGGCCAACUCUGUGCCAGCAGCCGCGGUAAGACAGAGGGGGCAAGCGUUGCUCGGAAUUACUGGGCGUAAAGGGCGCGUAGGCGGGAUGGCAAGUCGGUCGUGAAAUCCCUUGGCUCAACUGAGGGGAGUCGGCCGAUACUGCUGUUCUUGAGGGAUGCAGAGGAGACUGGAAUUCCCGGUGUAGCGGUGAAAUGUGUAGAGAUCGGGAGGAACACCGGUGGCGAAGGCGGGUCUCUGGGCAUCUCCUGACGCUGAGGCGCGAAAGCGUGGGGAGCAAACGGG